Molecule: non-coding RNA, 1031 nt
Organism: Cinara cedri
Lineage: Eukaryota; Metazoa; Arthropoda; Insecta; Hemiptera; Aphididae
Source: the annotation of a GenBank genome assembly
UAAUAAUAAUAAUAGUAAUAAUAAUAAUAAUGAGAAUAAUAAAAUUAGUUAAAAUACUAUUGUUUAUAGGACGUUUAAAUCACAAUUUGUGGGCUAGGACCGUUUAUUAUAAUAUGUAAUUAUAACAUUCAAAUUAUCUAUUGUAAUAAUUGACGAGCAGACGGGGUAAUGGUCUUAAAAAAACUAAUCCUCACGCAUUUAAGUUUGUUGGAAACGCCGGCGGCGGUUAUAUUAUUGUAAUAUCGUGUUGCUACAUAAUAUUUUUAUAAUAUAAUAGGUACCAUAUGAUAUGUUUUGUCGCUGUACGGUGUACUUGUUUUGCUUUGAACGUAUUUUAUUUUUUCAUGUAUAUUAUUACAGAUUAGGGAAUCUAACCUAAUCUAACCCCUCCUAACGUACACAUAUAAUAAAUAUGUCUAUUAUUUAUUUUAAGUGUUUACAAUUUACAAUCAAUCCCGGAUUAAGGGGUGGGGGUAGGGCGUGACACCUGGACCGCAAGGCUCCGAGGGCCUCAGUUAUUUACCAAAAUUUGUCCUUUAUAUCUGCGUUCAAUGCGUUCAAUCAUUAAAUUUGUGUUUUGAUAUUUUAUUACUUUCGAUAUGAUUUCAUUGCAUGAAGAUGUAGUCCUAUUGGUGAAAACGACUAGUACGGUUUUUUUUAAUUUUUUUUUUAUAAAAAUAUAUUUAUUUAAUUAUAAAAUACUUGUAUCUUUUGAAUUGAGAUCUAUUAUCACUGUAUUAUUUAAUGUUUUUCUUUUGUUAAAACACAAUAUUGUCAUAUUGAAUAAUAAUGUGUAGAGAUUUUUUUGCCAUCGUAAUUAUUUUUGACGACCUCAUUAAAAAGCCUCGGAGCCUCUUAAUAUCUUAAUCCGGACUUAUUUAUAAUGUAAAAUAAUAACAUGUACGGUGUACCUACGUCUGCAAAUGUGUAAUAGUUACAAAUUCUCGAUGUUUUUUUUUUUUUCAAUGUUAUAUUUUUUAUGUAUCGCGCAAGUUUAAUAAUAAUAAGUAGGGCCCUGAAUUAUAUUCUCU